This 489-nucleotide small RNA is filed under the name Histoplasma capsulatum. Its description in RNAcentral is "hypothetical RNA". Lineage: Eukaryota; Fungi; Ascomycota; Eurotiomycetes; Onygenales; Ajellomycetaceae. RNAcentral also lists the same sequence under 1 other name. The record is from RNAcentral.
AAACAGGAGGUUGGGGAAAACAUCUCCCCAAUAAUAUGCUGAUCCGCGCCUUACUAACGGCUCCCGAUCGAACUUUGUUGGAUCCUUUCCUUUGGGUCAUUUUGCGCGCCGCCCCGGGAGAAGGAGGUGGUCAAAAACCGACCAGGCCCGACAAAUCCUCGAUAUCCACUCCUGGGGGAGGCUUCGAGCAUUGAUUGCCCCACCCAUUCUCCAGAACCCUUGAUACUGGACAGUGACAGCCCAUUCAGGCGGCGGCGUGAUGUUUGUUUGCCAGGCGCGACUCUCAUUCGUCCGUGCCUUCUCUCUGAGGCUGAACAGGAUGCAACUUCAUGCAGCCCACAACCUGUCAUUGCUACCAAACCGAUCAAUGAGCUUCUGAGGAGCCAUCCCGGUGUUGGGUGGGUGUUGAAAAUUUUAAACGAGUGCAUCUGGGAUCUCCCAUCCGUCUUGCCUAAAUUAGAGCCAUGAUCCAAAAAAUUCCUGUUCAUC